UAACCUGCCCAAGAGAUCGGGAUAACACCUGGAAACAGAUGCUAAUACCGGAUAACAACAGAUGAUGCCUAUCAACUGUUUAAAAGAUGGUUCUGCUAUCACUCUUGGAUGGACCUGCGGUGCAUUAGCUAGUUGGUAGGGUAACGGCCUACCAAGGCGAUGAUGCAUAGCCGAGUUGAGAGACUGAUCGGCAACAUUGGGACUGAGACACGGCCCAAACUCCUACGGGAGGCAGCAGAU
RNAcentral lists this ribosomal RNA (240 nucleotides) under uncultured Lactobacillus sp. RNAcentral describes it as "partial 16S ribosomal RNA". It matches the Rfam family "Bacterial small subunit ribosomal RNA", at positions 122 to 354 of the family's 1533-position model. Lineage: Bacteria; Bacillati; Bacillota; Bacilli; Lactobacillales; Lactobacillaceae. The record is from RNAcentral.